This is a small nucleolar RNA of Anoplopoma fimbria (sablefish), 69 nucleotides long. RefSeq annotates it as small nucleolar RNA SNORD37. NCBI's taxonomy places the organism in Eukaryota, Metazoa, Chordata, Actinopteri, Perciformes, Anoplopomatidae. The transcript has a single exon. The record is from RefSeq and is a predicted model, not a curated record.
GCAAAUGAUGAUUUUAAACAUUCUUCACUUUGACCUGAAUAAACAGUGAUGAUAGCCUUCACUCUGAGC